This 636-nucleotide long non-coding RNA is filed under the name Jatropha curcas. RNAcentral's name for it is "long non-coding RNA (JCUR_LNC002616)". The record is from RNAcentral. Lineage: Eukaryota; Viridiplantae; Streptophyta; Magnoliopsida; Malpighiales; Euphorbiaceae.
AAUUAGGGAGUAUUGCUUCUAGCUCCUUGAUGGGAUUCUAGGCCAGUCACACGUCUCCCAAUCUAAAAAAAAUCAGAAGAAAGAAAGAAAAUAAAAUUUUUAGGUGGAUUUAGUACACAACUCGAGUGUAGAGAGUCAAGCAUGCCUGCUUAUCCAUUGGAAUGAGAAUUAAGACCAAACAUUUUUUUUUCCAUUGUGAAAUAGGGGUUGGUUGAUUUGAAAUUUGAAAGGUUUAUUGAAGACCUUUAAUUAUCAUGUUUAGGCAUUGAAUUGUUAUUUUCAUGAAAAGAGUGAUUUUGGCUUUGGAUCACUGAAAAUGGUUUUUCUUGGCUUUGGAUCACCAAAUUUUUGGUCCAAAAUGGUUUUAGCUUUAAAUCGCUAUUUUUGGAAAAAGAAAGGCUCUUGGAGCCAUUUAGAAGAAGAGAGCAAAUAUUAAAAGCUAAGAGUCAUAAAGGACUUACUGGACCUUUUGGUCAGACCGACGUGAUUGACCGGAGCGCUGAUCGACACAGAUUCUUCUCCUUAGGCGUAUGGGUGAGGUUAGGACAAAAUUUAAUGUAAUCUCAUAAAUUGUAACUGUAAGUGUAAGUGUAUAUGAUAUGAGUAUUAAACGAAACUGAUGUGCAUGAAUAAAAG